Long non-coding RNA from Sarcophilus harrisii (Tasmanian devil), 443 nucleotides. RefSeq lists it as uncharacterized. Lineage: Eukaryota; Metazoa; Chordata; Mammalia; Dasyuromorphia; Dasyuridae. The transcript has 3 exons. The record is from RefSeq and is a predicted model, not a curated record.
AAGAAAGCAUGAUAAAUGCCAAGAGGAACAGUCCAGAGAAGCAGGCAGAAAGGGACCCAGAGCUCCCUCCUUUUCACUAAGGGCACUACAAAUUCCCUAAAAGCAUCUCGCCCCUCCAGGUUUUCCCAGCAAGCACGGGGAGAGACCAGGAGACCUCCAGUCCCUCCAGCUGCACACACUUCACACGGAUGGCCAUAGGAACCGGAAAGGACCUUCUGGUUGGAGGACCAGGUAGUGGAAUGAUGGCGUUAUCAGGACAGAUGAUGUACAUUUGCAAAAUGGCUUGGUGAGACUGGACGUUGCCAUGAGUGGUCAUGGGCGGAGAAGGGGCAUCUAACAUGACCUCGCUGGACCUUCCCGGCAUCUGAGCUAACUGGCCACUGGUGAUAGUCAAUAAAUGCUUUAUGAAAUUAAGCCCAAGAUGAAUGGCAAGGAGGGAGAAG